GUUUUCUAGGAGAGGUGGCAGGGCCCCGACGAGGCGGGUAGAGGCGGGCGGGAGCUCAUCCUGAGCCGGGCGGGUUGUCGGAGAGGUGCGGCCGGAAGACCUCGACGCGGAGGGUGGUAUCGAUCGGAGGGGCGUGGGAGGGCAACAACUACCAAACCCAGACGGAUGGCUCCCUCUUCCCCUACUACCGACGGCGAGGAAGAGAGCUCGGGAACGGCGCUACUUCGGCACCCUCCUCUCCCCGUGCACGUGCCACCUGGACGAGGCUCGGGGAGUUCGCUGGGUAGAAGUUCCACUAGUGAAGUAGGUGUACUCCUCCACGUACCCUCUCCGACCACCACGCUUUCCGUCCCUACACGGACGGCUCGGGCUACUGCCCCUGCCCAGGCCCCUUUAAAAGUAACCGCUACAUCGGGCCUUCUGUUGGCUUCCAUCUAUACUCAUUAAGUACAUCCAACAAAACGAUUCCUACCCUGUUAAAAUCUAAACACCGCUUGCUACACCCACCCAGUCAACACAUACGUUGUUGUUAAGAUUUUGCUACUUGACAAGAAG
RNAcentral lists this ribosomal RNA (555 nucleotides) under Triticum aestivum (bread wheat). RNAcentral describes it as "partial small subunit ribosomal RNA". The record is from RNAcentral. Lineage: Eukaryota; Viridiplantae; Streptophyta; Magnoliopsida; Poales; Poaceae.